CAAUAAUUAUUAUGAUCCAAUAUUUUCUUGCACUUAGUGACGUGAAUUAUCGGACAUCGAAUUUGAACGCUAGGUAGUUUUAAUGCCGACGGCUUAAAACGUGAUAGGUAAAACACGAGAUUUGAUAUUGAUUCGAUUGAACGGUUAGACAUGGCGAUCCGCGGGCCUCCGGUGCUCCGGUAGAAAAACAUCGGUCCGCGUUAUUGCUUGACGACCGUCGAUUAAAUAGUAUUAAUUCGUUUAUUGAUAUCGAUUAUCACGACACACCGAAUAACUGUAUUGUUAAAGUUCUCCUUACAUUACUUACACUCGCCCGAUUUCGCCGCGAAACUCCGCGUCGUAAUGAAGUGUUUUUAUCGUCACCGUACGACAAAACGAUUUCCCCUGGCCCGUCCACCCACUUCCCGGACAGAUGACUACAAUAAUAAUAAUACAAGUUUUAAAACUGAACCGCUAGUCCCGGUCGACGUAUUUGUGUCCUAUUUUUUACAAAUCCCCGCGCCUAACCUAAAUGCCGAGACGACCCUAUUAUUAUUAUCGUUAUUAUUAUCGCCGUUGUCGCCGGUACUUUUAUUAUUAUUAUUUUUUUUUUUUUACAUUGUUCUUUUCCUUUCUUUUUUUUUUUUCAUUUCCCGACGUCGUAAACUCGCGCUACAAAGCCGCUUUCAGUUGGGCGGGACGGCCGAUGGGGCGAAGGGAUUCGGACAUUAUAUUGCGUUUAUGACGACGAAACGAUCGUUUUUGCGUUUCUCCUCCGAGCGGCAGCAGCAGCAGCAGCGACCGAAACGACGUGUAGUAUUCCGAGCCAUUUGCUCGGCGACCGUAUUUUAUCACCUACGUUUCGACGCACCGGGCGUAUUAUAUUAUUAUAUAUACACAGUUACUUAUGAUCGAAAAUUUCCUGGACCGGGUCUUCUUCGAUUCGGGCGGAAAACCGCACUUUAAAUAUUGCGGCAAAAAAAAAAAAAAUAAUAAUAAUAAAAACUAUUCGCCAAAAGCCCGCCGCGUAUCCCGCGGACUCGCGGGGCCAUUUCGUCACGAUUUCCCUUUGGCGGUAUAUUUCAUUUUUUUUUUUUAACAAAAAGUCAAUAACACUAUAUCGGUACGGCUUAUAUUGAUCGUUCCGCGAGAAAAUGACACGAUAUUAAUAUAAAAAAUUCUCAAACGGGAUUAUUGCGGAACGCCGCGGAGUAACGUGCGCGCGAUCAUAUUAUUUGAAAUUAUUGUAUACUUAUUUAUUUGAAAAAUUCAACGAGCCAUAAAUGACGAGAUAAAAAAUAUAAAGUUU
Molecule: non-coding RNA, 1288 nt
Organism: Cinara cedri
Lineage: Eukaryota; Metazoa; Arthropoda; Insecta; Hemiptera; Aphididae
Source: the annotation of a GenBank genome assembly